GGAGUUGCUCUUAUCCAAGGGGUCCAAAAGAGAAAUUUCCUAUAAAAAAAAAGACAAAUUGUAAAAAAUUGAGUGCACGAAGUCCCCAAUCACCUUCCCCCCUUCGCAUUUCGUUCGCCGCCAUCGACGCCGGCACACAACAAUCGAGACCCCAGCCUCCGUCCGCCGUAGUUUUCUCUCGUCCAGGGUCGACCCCUUCGUCGUCGUCCUCCUCCGUUCCGCUAGCACCACUGUGGCGGAGCGGAGAUCCACUCAUCCGGACUUAGACUGGUUCCCAUCUCCUCGUGGUGGUAAGAGUUCAGUACCGGGCUCGGGUGCCCCUCCCCCAUGUCGCACGUCGAGCCCACCGCCGUCGGCGCGGACCAGGCCGGCGAGGGGGUGGUCUUGCCGCACGGCGAUGGUGUCGGUGGCAGCGGGGGUGAUGUGGCAACCGCGGAAGCGCAAGUGGCUGUUGCCGUUUCCACCUCCGGCGACGAGAGGCGGGGCGAUUAUGGCGACGAUGCAGAGAACGAGGAGGAGGAGGCCGCAACGGUGCAGGGCAGCAAGGAGGGCACGGAAGAGCUGCUCCGGAAGGUGGUGUACAGCGAAGAGGCCGCCUACAAGCUCUACUGCGAUUACGGCCACCGCAUGGGGUUCAGCAUCCGGAAAGGGAAGCAGUCCUACUUCACCGGCACCAAGCGGAUACGCACAAAGGACUACUUCUGCUCCAAGGAGGGGCUCAAGGAAGGGGAGAAGCUCACCGAUACAAAUUUCAACGACCCCCACACCAGGACCAAUUGCAGGGCCAUGGUGCGGUUCAGGGUGAAUGAUCAGGGGGAGUGGAAGGUUAUCCGACUGGUAUCUGAUCAUAACCACAACCUUGCAAAGCCUGAGGAACGACACCUUUUGCGUUCUGCAAGGUCACUUAUAGCAGGGCGGUCGAGUUCUGUGGAGGCGAUGUUGUAUGGGGGUUAUCAGGUGCAACCACAAUUGCCUGCAGGGAGUACUAGUGCAACCAACAAUGUGGAGAAUCCGAAGCAAGAUUUGCUCCUUGGCUAUGGUGCUACAGCAAAGACGCUGACUGUAGGGACUGCGGACGUGCAGAGCCUUGUGAGUCACCUGAAAAGCAGGGCAAAUGAAGAUGGCAUGUUCUACUGGGAUGUUCAAUUGGACCGAGGUGGUCGGAUGACUAAUUUCUUUUGGCGUGAUGGGAGGAGCAGGACCGACUAUGACUGUUUCGGUGAUGUGGUCGUGUUUGAUUCAACUUAUCGCUUGAGCAAACAGAACCUGGUAUUUGCACCUUUUGUUGGUGUCAACCAUCAUUGGCAGACCACUAUGUAUGGCUGCGCGCUCUUAGCUGACGACUCUACUUCAUCUUUUGUGUGGCUGUUCAAGUCUUUCUUGGAGUCCAUGGGGAACCGGCAUCCACAAUCUAUUUUCACAAAUCUAGAUCAAGUUGUGUCAAAAGCAGUUGAGGAGGUUUUCCCAAAUGCAUGUCAUCGCAUUGCUCACUGGCACAUCCAAAAGAAUGCUCAGUCUCGUCUUGGUGCUCUUAAUGUUUCAAAACCGUUCAAUAAGAUGUUCACCAAGUGCAUACAGGGAUGUGACUCGGAAACAGAGUUUGAGGAAACAUGGGCUCAAAUGCUCUGUGAAUUUAAGUUGCAGGAUAACAAAUGGCUUAAAAAACUAUAUAAGCUCAAGCAGAAGUGGUGUAGUGCUUUUAACAAGUGCACCUUUGAUGGUGGGAUUGAGUAUGAACCACAAUGUGACAAUAUGAGCAACAUAUUUAAUAAUGUUUCUGAUAAGUUGACUUCUCUUGGUGCAAUUGCUGUUGCUGUGGAUAAACAGACUGAAGAUUGGAGGGAAAAAGAAUUGGAUGAGGAUGCACGGUGUUUGCAAAAGCCACCUGCUUGUAUCAUCAAACACAGUGAUAUUUUGAAUCAUGCAGCAAAGGUUUAUACACAUAGAAUCUACAAAUUGUUUGAGACAGAUUUUCUGGACGGGUGUGGCGCCACAAAAUUCAAGGAGCUUCCGUGUCAAGAUAGCAACACAUAUCAAUUUGAGAUGACCAUGCAAGGGCGAGGAUCAAGAGUUUGCACAGUUCGUUUCAAUAUGCCUACGAUGCGAUUAAGUUGCAGCUGCAGUAAGUUUGAGACAAUGGGUUUACUUUGCCCACAUGCUCUGAAAGCUCUUAGCAUCAAGAAUAUAUGCAAAAUUCCAGAAAGUUACAUACUGAAGCGGUGGACCAAGGAUGCGAAGAAAUGGGUUUUCAACCCAAAACAGUAUGAAUCAUCAUAUCAGGAAUGUAUGAAUAAUGAAGCUGCAUACUGCAACUAUGUUAUGAGGUAUGCUUAUGAUCUUGUCACGAAGAGCCAAGGGCAGGAGGCAUUAAGGAAAGUGCUGUGGGAGAAUCUUGAGAGUGGUGAGAAAGAAUUGGAGAGUUACCUAGAAAACGUUACCCAACAUGCACCUUCAUACCCACUUGAAAGAAUCACUAAUUAACCUCCUGGACUUAUCUGCUGAGGAUGAACAAGAUACUUCCUUGUUCUUUGGGAGAUGCAUUCAGAAUGUCUCUUAAACUGUACUCUUAAGAGAUGAAAACAGAUGCUUAUCAAAGAUACAAGCUUGAGUUUUCACUUGUACAAAGAGUGUUAUUGAAGUGAAUUUUCUCCAUGAGUCAUGGCAUGAACAACUGCGACAACUUGUGGCAAAGAAUAUCUUGUUUCUACAGCUUCAAAUGUACAGCAUAGAUAAUCAUGAAAGCAGAAAAGAUUCCAGAUCCCCACUCACCAAAAAAAAAAAAAACUGACACUCUACUUCCCUCCAUAAACAGCGACGCUGCUAUGUCUGCCUUCAUCAUGGCGGGUUACGUCAUUGAGCUCAGCUUCUGCCCAUAUAGCAUAGGCCUCCUCACCAUGUACAGCAUCAUCCCCGAUAAGCAGCUGUUCAUCAGAGAUUCGGAGGGGCAGGACUAGGCCAAUAAGAACACAGAUUAUGGAAGUGAUAACGAUGUUCCAGGCAAUGACGAAGAGUGCGCCAGCAAUCUGCUUCCCAAACUGUGAUCCACCAUCACCACCAUAAAAUGCACCUCUGGAUUCCUGGAUGGAGAGGAAGAGGUUGCAGAGGACGGGCUCAGCAAAAAGUCCCGUAGUGGUGCCGCCGAGGAGCCCAGCCACCGCGUGGGUGUGGAAUACGCCAAGGGUGUCGUCGAUCCUCUGCAUGAAGGACCAUUUCUUGUGCAGUACCAUCAUAGUGUACCAGGGGAUGCUACCAGAGAGAAUUCCCAUCACAAUAGCUGCCCACCCUUGCACCAGGCCUAUUUGAAUGAAAGAUAUUUGUUAGUUAACCAAUUAAAAUGGAGAAUAGACUAACUAUGGAGACUGUUGUACUGGUUUGCUACAUAUUAUAUACCUGUACCAUGAAAUUCUUGAUGUCCCCUUUGUCAGUUUGACUAUUAUAUUAUGGAUUUAUUUUUGUUCA
Molecule: RNA transcript, 3459 nt
Organism: Sorghum bicolor (sorghum)
Lineage: Eukaryota; Viridiplantae; Streptophyta; Magnoliopsida; Poales; Poaceae
Gene name: protein FAR1-RELATED SEQUENCE 5-like
Exons: 4
Source: RefSeq, a predicted model, not a curated record